CUACGGGAGGCAGCAGUGGGGAAUAUUGGACAAUGGGCGCAAGCCUGAUCCAGCCAUGCCGCGUGAGUGAUGAAGGCCCUAGGGUUGUAAAGCUCUUUCGGCGGGGAAGAUAAUGACGGUACCCGCAGAAGAAGCCCCGGCUAACUUCGUGCCAGCAGCCGCGGUAAUACGAAGGGGGCUAGCGUUGCUCGGAAUUACUGGGCGUAAAGCGCACGUAGGCGGACUUUUAAGUCGGGGGUGAAAUCCUGGAGCUCAACUCCAGAACUGCCUUCGAAACUGAAAGUCUUGAGUUCGGGAGAGGUGAGUGGAACUGCGAGUGUAGAGGUGAAAUUCGUAGAUAUUCGCAAGAACACCAGUGGCGAAGGCGGCUCACUGGCCCGAUACUGACGCUGAGGUGCGAAAGCGUGGGGAGCAAACAGGAUUAGAUACCCUAGUAGUCC
This 440-nucleotide ribosomal RNA is filed under the name uncultured bacterium. Its description in RNAcentral is "bacterial SSU rRNA". It matches the Rfam family "Bacterial small subunit ribosomal RNA", at positions 339 to 796 of the family's 1533-position model. The record is from RNAcentral.